This 882-nucleotide ribosomal RNA is filed under the name uncultured Dothideomycetes. RNAcentral's name for it is "SSU rRNA". It matches the Rfam family "Eukaryotic small subunit ribosomal RNA", at positions 564 to 1472 of the family's 1831-position model. The record is from RNAcentral. Lineage: Eukaryota; Fungi; Ascomycota; Dothideomycetes.
GUGCCAAGCAGCCGCGGUAAUUCCAGCUCCAAUAGCGUAUAUAAAAGUUGUGCAGUUUAAAAAGCUCGUAGUUGAACCUUGGGUCUGGCUGGCCGGUCCGCCUCACCGCGUGUACUGGUCCGGCCGGACCUUUCCUUCUGGGGAGCCGCAUGCCCUUCACUGGGCGUGUCGGGGAACCAGGACUUUUACUUUGAAAAAAUUAGAGUGUUCAAAGCAGGCCUUUGCUCGAAUACAUUAGCAUGGAAUAAUAGAAUAGGACGUGCGGUUCUAUUUUGUUGGUUUCUAGGACCGCCGUAAUGAUUAAUAGGGAUAGUCGGGGGCAUCCGUAUUCAAUUGUCAGAGGUGAAAUUCUUGGAUUUAUUGAAGACGAACUACUGCGAAAGCAUUUGCCAAGGAUGUUUUCGUUAAUCAGUGAACGAAAGUUAGGGGAUCGAAGACGAUCAGAUACCGUCGUAGUCUUAACCAUAAACUAUGCCGACUCGGGAUCGGUGGGCGUUACUAUUUUGACUCCAUCGGCACCGUACGAGAAAUCAAAGUUUUUGGGUUCUGGGGGGAGUAUGGUCGCAAGGCUGAAACUUAAAGAAAUUGACGGAAGGGCACCACCAGGCGUGGAGCCUGCGGCUUAAUUUGACUCAACACGGGGAAACUCACCAGGUCCAGACACAAUAAGGAUUGACAGAUUGAGAGCUCUUUCUUGAUUUUGUGGGUGGUGGUGCAUGGCCGUUCUUAGUUGGUGGAGUGAUUUGUCUGCUUAAUUGCGAUAACGAACGAGACCUUAACCUGCUAAAUAGCCCGGCCCGCUUUGGCGGGUCGCCGGCUUUCUAGAGGGACUAUCGGCUCAAGCCGAUGGAAGUUUGAGGCAAUAACAGGUCUGUGAUGCCC